This 208-nucleotide ribosomal RNA is filed under the name uncultured bacterium. Its description in RNAcentral is "partial 16S ribosomal RNA". It matches the Rfam family "Bacterial small subunit ribosomal RNA", at positions 568 to 775 of the family's 1533-position model. The record is from RNAcentral.
CGCGUAGGCGGUUUGUUAAGUCAGAUGUGAAAGCCCCGGGCUCAACCUGGGAAUUGCAUUUGAAACUGGCAGGCUAGAAUGCAGUAGAGGGAGGUGGAAUUUCCGGUGUAGCGGUGAAAUGCGUAGAGAUCGGAAGGAACACCAGUGGCGAAGGCGGCCUCCUGGACUGACAUUGACGCUGAGGUGCGAAAGCGUGGGGAGCAAACGA